Molecule: ribosomal RNA, 250 nt
Filed under: uncultured bacterium
Lineage: Bacteria
Description: partial 16S ribosomal RNA
Rfam family: Bacterial small subunit ribosomal RNA
Source: RNAcentral
UACGUAGGUGGCAAGCGUUGUCCGGAUUUAUUGGGUUUAAAGGGUGCGUAGGUGGUCUUGUAAGUCAGUGGUGAAAUACGGCAGCUCAACUGUCGAGGUGCCAUUGAUACUGCAAGACUUGAGUACAGACGAGGUAGGCGGAAUUGACGGUGUAGCGGUGAAAUGCUUAGAUAUCGUCAAGAACACCGAUAGCGAAGGCAGCUUACUAGACUGUAACUGACACUGAGGCACGAAAGUGUGGGGAUCAAAC